GAAAUGCGAUAAGUAAUGUGAAUUGCAGAAUUCCGUGAAUCAUCGAAUCUUUGAACGCACAUUGCGCCCCCUGGUAUUCCGGGGGGCAUGCCUGUCCGAGCGUCAUUUCAACCCUCAAGCACGGCUUGUGUGAUGGGCCACGCGUCCGCGCGUGGACUCGCCCCAAAGUGAUUGGCAGCCGGCGUACUGGUCCCGGAGCGCAGCACAUGUCGCGCAAACGAGUGCCUUGGUACGGCGGCGUCCAUAAGCCCCUCUCUCACGCUCUUGACCUCGGAUCAGGUAGGGAUACCCGCUGAACUUAAGC
RNAcentral lists this unclassified non-coding RNA (304 nucleotides) under plant metagenome. Its description in RNAcentral is "partial contains 5.8S ribosomal RNA, internal transcribed spacer 2, and large subunit ribosomal RNA". The stretch from base 1 to 105 matches the Rfam family "5.8S ribosomal RNA", at positions 50 to 154 of the family's 154-position model. The record is from RNAcentral.